AUGGUAGACAGGUCAGGUGACAGUAAUGGUCAGACCAUUGAACCAAUCAGAGAGGAGGUGUGUGCUCCAGCAGGUAGUAAUAUUACACUUUCAUGCACCUACUCAUCUGCAGUCUCUCUUCAAUGGUAUCUCCAGGACCCUGGAUCAGCUCCUCAGUAUAUCCUGCUUAUCCUGCAUGGUGUCGGGUCUCCAUCACGGGCUCCAGGUCUGGAUCCUCGACUGUCAGUCAAACUGAAUGAAACCUCUCAGGUUCAAACCGACCGCAUGGAUCUGGAGAUCUCCUCUGCUGAAGUGACAGAUUCUGCUCUGUACUACUGUGCCCUGGAGCCCACAGUGACAGGAAACCCAGACACACUGUACAAAAACCUGUCAAGUGCCUUGGCAAGAAACCAAUGA
Non-coding RNA from Oncorhynchus nerka (sockeye salmon), 396 nucleotides. The record is from the annotation of a RefSeq genome assembly. Lineage: Eukaryota; Metazoa; Chordata; Actinopteri; Salmoniformes; Salmonidae.